AGAAGAUAUAUUUUUCAGCAGUUAUGGGCUGAUAGCAAUUAGGAAUAAUGAAGUGCAGAUGGUUUGGGUUUCUUUUUCCUCCAAAAUCUGCAAACAGGGCAUUUCCACAACGAUUAUUUAAACAAACGGAGUGGGAGUGUAGCCAGGCCAGUUUUCAUAAAGCACUUUUUAUGGAGCAGACCUACUGGGUGGCUCAGUAAUGCUCAAGAUUAAUCUUUGUAUCUGACAAUUGAGGAGUUAAACUAAACAACACUGAAGCUGAGCACUGGCUGUAGAGCUUACCAAGUGAGCUCAUGAGGUCUGUCUCUUACUCUGUCUUGACCAACCCUGUUAGCAGUCCCCAGCUCUGGCCCAUAUAUCAGGGAAUAUAAAGAAAAGAAAGGAACUGACUGUGUGUGCUGUGUGAUCAGCAGGAGAAGCUACAAGGUUCCUUUAAGAACAUAAAUUCUGCCUUGCUUGGCGAUUCAGUCAAUGAGGCUACUAAAGCCACAGCUUACAGCCUGCUUAAGAAAUACAGAGGCAGCAAGAAGGAAAAUGGGAUAGGUCUCUGUGUCAAACAUAUCACCGGCUCUCUGAGUCACUAACAGCUUGAAAAUAGAUUGCCAUGGUUACAUCUGGAUGAGUGCUCUGUACAGACAGAGACUCACAAGUUGAUAUUUGCCACAGAGUAACAUAUCACUUUAGUAAACAGAACAACCAGCACAUAAACAGCUGUGUGUAACAGGCAGGGGGAAAAAGGAAUAGCAUUACUGGAAGGGAUUUCAAUAUGAGUGAUUUAAGGAGGCGGCUCAUAAAGCCAGAAUGAAAUGUUCUUGGAACUAUUAUUAUGGAUGAUACUGUGCUACCUAGCACAGUACUGCAUCCAAUAUUGGGGCCUGCUGGUCAUGGGAAAAAAAUCUUGAAAAGGAGAGAAGAAUGAACUGUGACAAAAGAAGCCACCCUUGUUUACAUUAUGCUGAUCAUGUUUCAGUGCUUGCUACAGAGCAGAACCUCAGCCAGCGCUGCAGGCUUGGGAAUUACCCACAGAAACAACUCAAUUAAGCUUCACUUUCCUGCUCCUGGUCAAGACAGAACGUCAGGUCUCCAGAGCUGCAACUAAAUCAUACAAUCAUUAAGGUUGGAAAAGACCUUUAAGAUCACCUAGCCCAACCGUUCACCCACCACCAAUAUUUCCCCACUAAACCAUGUCCAUUAGUACAAUAUCUACAUGUUUCUUGAACCCCUCCAGGGACGGUGACCCAGCCACCCCCCUGAGCAGCCUGUUCCAGUGCCUGACCACUCCUUCAGAGAAGAAAUUUCUCCUAAAAUCCAAUCUGAACCUCCCCUGGUGCAACUUGAGGCAAUUUCCUUUCAUCCUAUCAUUGUCACGCAGGAGAAGAGGCCGACCCCCACCUCACCACAACCUCCUCUCAGGCAACUGCAGAGAGCUAUAACGUCUCCCCUGAGCCUCCAGCUCUCCAGACUGAAUAAUUCCAGUUCCCUCAGCCACUCCUCAUAAGAAUGUUUAGAAACUAUGUAUUCUGUUGCCACAGUGAAUAAUAAUAGGUAAUUAUUAUUAAUAAUGAUGGUUAUGACAAUAAUAAUAUUAAUUGCACUAAAAUAAAAUGUUGGAAAUUACAUCUUUAUCCUAAAAAAAAAGAAAAAAAAAAGAAAAAGAAAUUAGUAUUAGUAUUAGUAUUAGUAUCUUGUAGAUUCAGCAUUGUGAGGAUGAACUAGUUUUCAUUCUGGUUUGGCACUGAGAUUCCCAGAUUUUAUACAACAUCAUGAAAUCAGUAGUAUGUGAGAUUCACUGCUGCACAUGAAAUAUCAAAAGGAACUUGAAAGGUUAGCAGAGGAAUUGCUUUUAUUUUGCAGGCAAAACAUGGCUCCUGUACCUACCAGCCAACCAGAUCAGUUAAUCAAAAUGCCAAAUGGUCUUCAUUUGCAUGUAACUUUUGAACCUUUCUUAAAAUAAAAUACAAUUACGCUGC
Gallus gallus (chicken) is the source of this 1970-nucleotide long non-coding RNA. The record is from Ensembl. Lineage: Eukaryota; Metazoa; Chordata; Aves; Galliformes; Phasianidae.